UAUUUAUGUUUAGGGAGGGCGUGGGGGCCAAAUGAAAACUGAUUAUUUUCUCUAUUCGAUGUUUGUUAAUCGAAGACGUGGGUCAGCCCUCCUCACGAGGAGACUUGGGGUUUCUUGGAGGAUAUCUGGGCUUGACAGGGUUUCUGAAUAUUGAAGGGGGGAUUAUACACUUGGUAACCCCAGAUGUUAUCAGGGGAAAAUGGGAUAUCAGAGGCAAAUUAGUGAAUUAGGAGGAGGAAUGGGGAAAAUUACUGGCGAUCGUUAAAAGUAAAUUAAAGGUGAAAAAACUGGCGUUGAUGAUCAUUGGAUAGCUAGGGAACUGAAUGCUUAUUUGACAAAUAAUUCGUAGAAGUUGAUUCAUGAGCAGGAGACGAUGAAUAACUAGGGGAAGUGAGGCUAGUCAGUAGCAUAAUUCAAGGCAAGAAAUGAGUCGACAACUAGUAAAAGGAAUUUCCCUGAAAAACUUGAAAAUAGGACGAAAAAUAAAUAGUGAGGUUAGGUCGCAGGGAAAGGGAUUAUUUCAAUGAUCCAAUGAGAUCAAUCAGGUUUUGGUUUUGGUAAAAAAGAAUUUUCUACUGAAAAAAACGUGGUACCUCCUCAAAUAAAAAUAUAUUCUGUUGAUUUAAUGAGAAAUUAAAUGUAAAUUUAAUUUUUCAUUAAGUGUAAUAACGAAUUGAGUGAAAAAAUACGGAUCUCAUUAUCUCCUCAUCGCCAAAAAUAUUCUCUCUCAAAAAGAGCACUGAGAGGGAAAAAAAAUGGUGAUGUAUGUAGAAAAAUAAAACGAUACGAGUGGGAAAUCAACGCUGUGCCUGCACUUUUGGCUGUCCGAUGCCUGGACGAUGUCGUCGCGACGAGGUAUCCGCGGGGGAGGGAUGGAGCAGAGGGGGAUCCGUGGGCGUAGCGGGGGCCGACAGAUCCUCCUCCGCUAGGCCACAUUUGAAACGAGAAAAAAAAAAUUGGAGAGAAAAAGGGAAGAGGCAUUGAGGUAGAGACGCUCUGCUCGGUUUUUAUACAAUUGCUCGGGCACCAGAGUAGGUGGUGGACAAGGAGGGGAAUUGACGAUUGAACGAGACUGGAAUUGUUGGAGUGAAGGAGGCGAAACAGAGGUCGAAACAUUAGAUGUUGGGGAAUUGCAGAUGUUGAGUGGGAAAUUGAGGAUUUAAAUAAAAUUGCGAUUAAGUUGGGAAUUAUGGGAAUGGAAAGGCACAUCUUGGGAACAAAUGACAAGAGUCAAACCAUAUUUAUUAGAUAGAACAGGGAACUGGUGCUGGGCAUUUCAAUCCCAGAAACUUGAAAAUCACAAAAAAAAGUCUGGUCCCGGGGCUGUUGAGGUGGGAUUUUUUUUACUCGUGUGGUUCACCAUCUCUGGCCUUCACCUGGGAUGCCAGCUCUACGUGAAUAAAAAAUACCCAUCGUCCCGACAGCCCGGAAAAAUCAUAUUUCCCUGGUCACACUCAGCUACUCAACUGGAGUUUAUUCACGUCAGCAUUAAAAAAAAAUGUCCAUGAUUGGAACUAAUAGUUGGAGAGGGGAUUAUUCUCAGAUCCUGAGACUUUUUUUUUUUCGUGGGGUUCAAUUGCUCGGUUAUAAUUCUGCCCGAUGCCAGCGCGUCGCCUCGUUUCCUUUGUGACGCCCCGAAGUGCCCAAAGGCCUCAAGACACACUCAGGUACAACGGCUGGGUCACACCGAUGGUUGUGUACUGUAUUGAACAGCAUCGAGAGACACGUUUCGAUUUCUUUUUUACUAUCUGGAGCUGUACCGGAUGACGAAUGCGCCUGGAAUUCUGUAUUUACUCGGGGGAGAAUGCUCGAGUUUCCGGAUCUUUCUGAUGAGUGCGGAUCAACGGCAUUUUUAUUGGAGCUCUUUCGUUUUUUGGGAAAACUCAGAAGUGAAGGUUAUGAAGCCCUUGUCCUCUUUUUUUUUCGUCACGGAUAUUCACGACCGCCCAAUUCCGUUAGUUCUUGUGAUGUUUGGUUAAUUAACAGGUGGAGAAUUAUUGGAGAAUUGGUUGGAGGUUGGUGUGAAGCUGUUGGUGGAACUGCCAGACUUUUUUUAACAUAUUAUCAGUUGAAAAUUACCUCUGUAAGCAGCCAUUAGAGACUACCAUGUUCUUCUGCGUGUACGUGACCCAAGGGACCUUGGUGUAAGAGAGAAAGCGAGAAAAGAAGCUGAUAAAUACGAAUACAGAUGCAUUGGGUAGAAAAUACAUCACGCGGGGCUGUGGAAUAGGGGGUCUGGGAGACUACUCCCGUGGUCGGGUAAGGUAUUUCGAGACAGACUCGCCACGAGAUAGAAUCUCCUUCUCCCUCGUUUACAAUUUCUCCUCUCUCUCCCCCCCCCCCCCUUCUGUCUCACUUUCUGCACCCUCAUGCUCCUUUGGACCAUGUGUGUGCGUCACACUGGGCAUCAGCCACACUCAUCCAGCGGGGCAACAAUUUUUCUACACAUGCAAAUCCCUUCUCAUCUUUUGCCCUUUUGCAAACUGAUGUGUCUGGACUUUAAAUAAAUUCCAAUAAUUUUUUUUCUCAAUACAUGAGGGGAUUUUUAAAUCACCCUUUAAAUAGAUUAAAGAGAUAUGCUCAUCCAUUUCACAGCGGAUUUCAUGUUGCGUUGAAGACUUUUUUUUUUUUUUU
This is a long non-coding RNA of Diachasmimorpha longicaudata, 2634 nucleotides long. RefSeq lists it as uncharacterized. NCBI's taxonomy places the organism in Eukaryota, Metazoa, Arthropoda, Insecta, Hymenoptera, Braconidae. The transcript has 2 exons. The record is from RefSeq and is a predicted model, not a curated record.